Long non-coding RNA from Sorghum bicolor (sorghum), 1214 nucleotides. RefSeq lists it as uncharacterized. NCBI's taxonomy places the organism in Eukaryota, Viridiplantae, Streptophyta, Magnoliopsida, Poales, Poaceae. The transcript has 2 exons. The record is from RefSeq and is a predicted model, not a curated record.
CCAGCCGCCGCCACCCCAACACCUCACCAUGUCGCUCCCAAUUGAGUGCUGGCACCCUGGGUACACCUCCUACCAGAGUGCUAACGCCCCCUACUGCUCCUCCUUGUGAGCGCCACCAUUCCCUGCGUCACCUCCCACCCGAGCGCCGCUGCCCUCGAACCCCUCCCCCACCCUUCCCUUGGAUCCAUGUGCAACCAUCGGUGGAGCAGCAUAAUUCGCCGAGCCUUUGUGUCGCCACCUAUGGCUUCUUCUCUGCUGUGAGGCGGUAGCAGCAGCAAUCUGUCCACGCCCAGCCUCUGCUGCCGCACUAGGCCGCGGCAACAGUUAGAUCCGCGCCGAGCACCUCCAUCACCACCGAUGGCUUGUUUUCUGCUGUGAGGCGGCAGUAGCAGCAAUCCGUCCACGUUCAGCCUCUGCUGCCGCAACAGGCUGCUGCAACAGCUAGACCUCACCACCGUAGUCCUGCUAUUCGUGCAGAUGCCCUUGAAGAAGUACGGGAUGUCGCUGCACAGGUGCUGUUGACGCUGGCCUCGCCCAGAUCCUGUGAGGCCCCUGAUGUCGUUGCACAGGGAUGGCCUUCGCAGUUACCGUAACAGCGCAACAAUCUCUUAUGUUUUCUGUGCAUCUUCGAUCGUCAUAUGCCUCCGCCAGAUGGAUUUUUUAUCCCCUCUUUUUAAUUGCUGCAGGUUUUUGUUGUGCAAGGCCCCGUCCCCAUUUCUGUAGUCCAGCAGCCGAUACUAGCAGGUACUACUUUCUUCACUUGAUGAUUUAUGUUAAGUUCAACUUGGGUAGCAGCAGCAAUAGAGGUUUUAAAGCUCUCUAUGCAGGUACAUGCAAAGGAACAGAAUUCUAAUUGAGUAUCACGUGCCAAUUGAUUCUGGCAAUUGUAUGUAGCAGCCCAUUCUAGCAAGAGGUGAAGCUGUUGUUCAGCAUCACUGACAGGAGAAAAUUUGACAAGCGCACAGAACGACCAUCCAUGCUUUCAGGAAAGGAAUUGGUGCAUAAACAAUAUUGGAGAAAUGCUUGACGAAGGAGCAUCAUUCCACUGAGGCAGCUGCAUUGCUUAUUUGCGGCAUGGAGAGACAAUUGUUGGCUAUAUGAAUUAGUCUUGUUUUUAAAUUUCUUCAUCAUCAAUGUGUAAAUAUUUAUAUAUAUAAACAUAUUUGACCAAAUGGUUGUAAAUCUAUAAUUGGAAAUGUAAUAAAGAAAUGUCA